RNAcentral lists this ribosomal RNA (400 nucleotides) under phytoplankton environmental sample. RNAcentral describes it as "partial small subunit ribosomal RNA". It matches the Rfam family "Eukaryotic small subunit ribosomal RNA", at positions 587 to 982 of the family's 1831-position model. The record is from RNAcentral.
AGCUCGAAUAGCGUAUAUUAAAUUUGUUGCGGUUAAAAAGCUCGUAGUUGGAUCUCAGCAGCCAGGGGGUGGUGCGCUUUUGGCGUUUUCACUGCCCCAUUUGGCUGUGAUCUUUUUGGCAGAGGUCACUAGGUGCUCUUAAUCGAGUGUCUCGCGAUGCUGUCAGGUUUACUUUGAAAAAAUUAGAGUGCUCCAAGCAGGCUUCACACGCUUGAAUAUUUGUGCAUGGAAUAAUGGAAUAGGAUGUCAUUUCUAUUUAGUUGGUUUUCAGAAAUUGACAUAAUGAUUAACAGGGACAGUCGGGGGCAUUGGUAUUCAGACGACAGAGGUGAAAUUCUUGGACCGUCUGAAGACCGACUACUGCGAAAGCAUUUGCCAAGAAUGUUUUCAUUAAUCAAGA